This 1157-nucleotide long non-coding RNA is filed under the name Anas platyrhynchos platyrhynchos (common mallard). RNAcentral's name for it is "lncRNA (ENSAPLG00000025866.1)". The record is from RNAcentral. Lineage: Eukaryota; Metazoa; Chordata; Aves; Anseriformes; Anatidae.
AAUUAAGGAAAUGAGGAAUUAGAUUAAAAAAAAAAAAAAAAAAAAAAAAAAGGAAGAAAUAAGAGGAAACAAGGAAUUAAGACAGCAGUGGGUGAUGCAACCUAAUUCUUCUUCAUCCCUACCCAAAAGGGCACAAAACUGUCCGUCAGGAAGCAGAAAAUGCCGCUCUACCUGCCCGCAGACAAGAUGGGGCUUCACCUGCGCGGGGGCUACGUUUAUCCUACCCAGCAGCCAGCGACCAACACCGUUGAGAGGUAUGUCCACGGGCGGAAUAUUUUCUGCACUAAACUGGCAGGAAAAUGGGAUUUAAAGGAAGGGGCUUGAGGCCACCCGGUUUCAGGAAAUAAAUACAUAAAUAAAGCAGUAUUUGGAGCAUAAUUAUUACUUAGCAGCAUUUUAGCACUAUUAUUAUUGUUUAUUGUUGUUUAUUAUUAUUAUUAUUGUGUAUUAUUAUUAGUAUUUAACAUUUGAAAGUUGGAAAUUAAGGACAGGCACCACUGAUUUUCUCAAUGAAGUAAUAUUUCUAAUAAUUCACUAGAGAAGAUUUUUCUCUUUUCAUGAUUUUUCCUUUCCUUUCCCUUUUUGCAAACUUUCAGUGGAUUUUAUUCUUUUACUUGAAAAUCAUCAAACACGUAAACCAGGGACCAACACAAGACAGUUCUCCAAGUUUUGAAGCCCCGUUGAGCUCUAUACUCUUAAAAUGAACAUUAAAGACUUUUUAUUUUAUUUUAUUUUGCUUUAAAGACUGUUUACUACACAUCUAAUUUUUUUUUAUUAAUGGGUGGGGUUUUGGUUUUGGCCCACAGCCGUAAGAAUCCUAUGGGACUGAUCAUUGCGCUGGAUGACAACAACCAAGCCACUGGGGAGUUGUUCUGGGAUGAUGGAGAAUCUGCACCUUCCAAUGGCAAUAGAAACUACAUUUUCUAUGAGUUCAAAGUUUCCAAUGUAAGUAUAUAUAUAUAUAUAUGUUUUUUUUUUUUAAUAAUUUUUUUUAAUAAUUUUCAUUUCCAAUGUUAAACUUCUAUGGGUAUUCUUUUUCCCUUUCCUUAUUUUCCUACAAUACUUACUAAGAAACGGAGUAUUUGGCAAAGUCUAAGAAGUGCCAUUUUCAAAAUAUUAUCGCUAAUAAAAUUAUUUAUAAUAUCUGAAAAAUUCCA